UACGUAGGGUGCAAGCAUUAAUCGGAAUUAUUGGGCGUAUAGGGCGCGUAGGCGGAACUUCAAGUCGGACGUGAAAUCCCAGAGCUCAACUCUGGAACAGCAUCCGAAACUGAAGAUCUAGAGGGUAGGCGGAGAAAACGGAAUUCCACAAGUAGCGGUGAAAUGCGUAGAUAUGUGGAAGAACACCUGUGGCGAAAGCGGUUUUCUAGCUUAUUCCUGACGCUGAGGCGCGAAGCAAGGGGAUCAAACAGG
RNAcentral lists this ribosomal RNA (252 nucleotides) under uncultured bacterium. Its description in RNAcentral is "partial 16S ribosomal RNA". It matches the Rfam family "Bacterial small subunit ribosomal RNA", at positions 524 to 776 of the family's 1533-position model. The record is from RNAcentral.